GACGAACGCUGGCGGCGCGCCUAACACAUGCAAGUCGAACGGAGCUGAGAGAAGCUUGCUUUUCUUAGCUUAGUGGCGAACGGGUGAGUAACGCGUGAGUAACCUGCCCUGGAGUGGGGGACAACAGUUGGAAACGACUGCUAAUACCGCAUAAGCCCACGAUCCGGCAUCGGAUUGAGGGAAAAGGAUUUAUUCGCUUCAGGAUGGACUCGCGUCCAAUUAGCUAGUUGGUGAGGUAACGGCCCACCAAGGCGACGAUUGGUAGCCGGACUGAGAGGUUGAACGGCCACAUUGGGAAUGAGACACGGCCCAGACUCCUACGGGAGGCAGCAGUGGGGGAUAUUGCACAAGGGGGGAAACCCUGAUGCAGCGACGCCGCGUGGAGGAAGAAGGUUUUCGGAUUGUAAACUCCUGUCGUGAGGGACGAUAAUGACGGUACCUAACAAGAAAGCACCGGCUAACUACGUG
This 468-nucleotide ribosomal RNA is filed under the name uncultured bacterium. RNAcentral's name for it is "partial 16S ribosomal RNA". It matches the Rfam family "Bacterial small subunit ribosomal RNA", at positions 28 to 507 of the family's 1533-position model. The record is from RNAcentral.